GACGAACGCUGGUGGCGUGCCUAAUACAUGCAAGUCGAGCGAACUUGCGGGAGCUUGCUCCCAAAAGUUAGCGGCGGACGGGUGAGUAACACGUGGGCAACCUGCCUAUAAGACUGGGAUAACUUCGGGAAACCGGAGCUAAUACCGGAUAAUUCUUUUCUACUCAUGUAGGAAAGCUGAAAGAUGGUUUCGGCUAUCACUUAUAGAUGGGCCCGCGGCGCAUUAGCUAGUUGGUGAGGUAACGGCUCACCAAGGCGACGAUGCGUAGCCGACCUGAGAGGGUGAUCGGCCACACUGGGACUGAGACACGGCCCAGACUCCUACGGGAGGCAGCAGUAGGGAAUCUUCCGCAAUGGACGAAAGUCUGACGGAGCAACGCCGCGUGAGUGAUGAAGGUUUUCGGAUCGUAAAACUCUGUUGUUAGGGAAGAACAAGUACUAGAGUAACUGCUAGUACCUUGACGGUACCUAACCAGAAAGCCACGGCUAACUACGUGCCAGCCGCCGCUGUAA
RNAcentral lists this ribosomal RNA (512 nucleotides) under uncultured bacterium. Its description in RNAcentral is "partial 16S ribosomal RNA". It matches the Rfam family "Bacterial small subunit ribosomal RNA", at positions 28 to 523 of the family's 1533-position model. The record is from RNAcentral.